CUACGGGGGGCUGCAGUGGGGAAUAUUGCACAAUGGGGGAAACCCUGAUGCAGCAACGCCGCGUGGAGGAUGACACAUUUCGGUGCGUAAACUCCUUUUAUAGGUCAAGAUAAUGACGGUAGCCUAUGAAUAAGCGCCGGCUAACUCCGUGCCAGCAGCCGCGGUAAUACGGAGGGCGCAAGCGUUACUCGGAAUCACUGGGCGUAAAGAGCAUGUAGGCGGGUUAAUAAGUCAGAAGUGAAAUCCAAUAGCUCAACUAUUGAAAUGCUUUUGAAACUGUUAACCUAGAGUGUGGGAGAGGUAGGUGGAAUUUCUUGUGUAGUGGUAAAAUCCGUAGAGAUCAGAAGGAAUACCGAUUGCGAAGGCGAUCUACUGGAACAUUACUGACGCUGAGAUGCGAAAGCGUGGGGAGCAAACAGGAUUAGAUACCCCUGUAGUC
This 439-nucleotide ribosomal RNA is filed under the name uncultured bacterium. RNAcentral's name for it is "partial 16S ribosomal RNA". It matches the Rfam family "Bacterial small subunit ribosomal RNA", at positions 339 to 795 of the family's 1533-position model. The record is from RNAcentral.